This 815-nucleotide ribosomal RNA is filed under the name fungal sp. MS174. RNAcentral's name for it is "eukaryotic LSU rRNA". The stretch from base 544 to 815 matches the Rfam family "Eukaryotic large subunit ribosomal RNA", at positions 1 to 262 of the family's 3401-position model. Lineage: Eukaryota; Fungi. The record is from RNAcentral.
GAGGGGUUGUAGCUGGCCGGAAGGCAUGUGCACGCCUCGAUCAUCAUCCAUCUCACACCUGUGCACAUACUGUAGGUCGGUUUGUGGGGUGAAGUCUUCAUUGAUUUCGCUCUGUGGGCCUUCCUAUGUUUUAUUACAAACUACUAGUUUCAAGAAUGUCUAUUGCGUGUAACGCAUUUAUAUACAACUUUCAGCAACGGAUCUCUUGGCUCUCGCAUCGAUGAAGAACGCAGCGAAAUGCGAUAAGUAAUGUGAAUUGCAGAAUUCAGUGAAUCAUCGAAUCUUUGAACGCACCUUGCGCUCCUUGGUAUUCCGAGGAGCAUGCCUGUUUGAGUGUCAUGGAAUUCUCAACUUCAUUUGCUUUUGUGAAUGAAGCUUGGACUUGGAGGUUGUUGCUGGCCAUAUGGAUCGGCUCCUCUUGAAUAUAUUAGCUCGAACCUUUGUGGAUCAGCUUCGGUGUGAUAAUUGUCUACGCCGUUCUGUAAAGCAUAGCUAUAGGUUUCGGCUUCUAAUAGUCCUUCGCUGGACAAUAUCUUUGACCUUUGACCUCAAAUCAGGUAGGAUUACCCGCUGAACUUAAGCAUAUCAAUAAGCGGAGGAAAAGAAACUAACAAGGGAUUCCCUUAGUAACUGCGAGUGAAGCGGGAAAAGCUCAAAUUUAAAAUCUGGCGGUCUUCGGGCCGUCCGAGUUGUAGUCUGGAGAAGUGCUUUCCGCGCUGGACCGUGUACAAGUCUCUUGGNAACAGANCGUCAUAGAGGGUGAGAAUCCCGUCUUUGACACGGGACUACCAGNGCUCUGUGAUGCGCUCUCAAAG